AGCAGCCGCGGUAAUUCCAGCUCCAAUAGCGUAUAUUAAAGUUGUUGCAGUUAAAAGCUCGUAGUUGAAUUUCGGGAUUUAUCCGUCGGUCGGGCUUUUGGGUCUGUACUGGCGUGAUGAAUUCCUACCUUCUGAAUAACCAGCAUGCCAUUAAUUUGGUGCGCCGGGGAAGCAGGACUGUUACCUUGAAAAAUUAGAGUGCUUAAAGCAGGCUAUUGCCUGAAUACAUUAGCAUGGAAUAAUGAAAUAGGACGGCAUGGUUCUAUUUUGUUGGUUUCUAGGAUCACCGUAAUGAUUAAUAGGGAUAGUUGGGGGCAUUAGUAUUCAAUUGCCAGAGGUGAAAUUCUUGGAUUUAUUGAAGACU
Molecule: unclassified non-coding RNA, 364 nt
Filed under: uncultured Glomus
Lineage: Eukaryota; Fungi; Glomeromycota; Glomeromycetes; Glomerales; Glomeraceae
Description: SSU rRNA
Rfam family: Eukaryotic small subunit ribosomal RNA
Source: RNAcentral